CUACGGGAGGCAGCAGUAGGGAAUCUUCCACAAUGGACGAAAGUCUGAUGGAGCAACGCCGCGUGAGUGAAGAAGGGUUUCGGCUCGUAAAACUCUGUUGUUAAAGAAGAACAUAUCUGAGAGUAACUGUUCAGGUAUUGACGGUAUUUAACCAGAAAGCCACGGCUAACUACGUGCCAGCAGCCGCGGUAAUA
RNAcentral lists this ribosomal RNA (194 nucleotides) under uncultured bacterium. RNAcentral describes it as "partial 16S ribosomal RNA". It matches the Rfam family "Bacterial small subunit ribosomal RNA", at positions 339 to 525 of the family's 1533-position model. The record is from RNAcentral.